Molecule: long non-coding RNA, 1022 nt
Filed under: Gossypium barbadense (sea-island cotton)
Lineage: Eukaryota; Viridiplantae; Streptophyta; Magnoliopsida; Malvales; Malvaceae
Description: long non-coding RNA (GBAR_LNC017620)
Source: RNAcentral
AUGGCACGGUUGUGCCUUUAUCUUUGCCUCUACCACCCCCACCUCCUGUGCCGUCCACGCCUGCCACAGCAAACUUGGGUAUUCCUUUGCCUCCACCACCUCCUGGUCCCCCACCUAAAGAGCAAGUUGCAGUUCGCCCUCCACUACCUCCACCUCCUCCCCUUCCACAGUCUGCACAGCCACUUCCACCUGGCACUAGUGGAAACAUGCCAGAUGACUCGACCUCCAAGGAGCUGGCUCAGGUAAGCUCUUCUAACAUCCUCUCUGGAUAUGCUGCCUUUCUGGCUUGAGCAUAUAAACAAUAUGUAUGUUUAAGUGUUUGUGUAAUCUUAAGAUCUGAAGAGUUUAGUUUAUCUACAAAACAUACAAAAUAUUUGAUUGGACAAUGUACAUGAUUUCCUCAAGGUCCCAUGUCUGUUGUUGAAUACUCAAAUAUUGAGCAGUAGAGAGUUUGAUACUGUGCCCUUUCUCACUAACAAAGGUACAUCCAUUGAAAAAAGUUAAAAAGAACAGAAAUUUAGGAGAUCUCCAAUUAGGUCUUUUUUUUUUUUUCCCUAUGGCCUCUAGCGCAUUUUUAGUUUAGCCCUAAGGUGCAAGGUCUAGGCGCAUGUCUUGUCAGCAUUGAUCUUCUUACACAGAAAGAUCUACACUUGGUCAAAAGCUGAGAACGGUGAAAUUGUUUCCUAAUUCUUUAGAAAUAUUUUCUGAGAAAAAUGUUAAUUUGUCUGUCUUGCUCUCCUUCUUAGGUGCCAACUGUACUCCCUCCCCCUCCUCCUGGAAUGCCCCCUAAAUUGGCUACUAAUCAAGGUGAAGGUGCUCCGUCAGAAGCUGAUACCAAUAACCAUACAGCAAUUUCUAAAAUGGUUCCACCACCUCCACCUCCUCCCAGACAACCUCCGGUGCCUGGACCUGCCAUGGUCCCAGCUUUACAGCCAGAUGUAUUACCCCCUGGAAUACCAGGUUUCCCUCCACCGCCGCUUCCAGAUAUGCGGGCAGCACUAUCUGCCAGUGGACUUCCUAGU